GGGAAGCUGUGAUCUAUUUAGCUAUAUUUGCCUAGGCCUGGUCCUGGAUAUUCCAGUUCACAUUUUUAUGUUUCCCCUGAUUUAACACACCAGACUCAAUUUAUUGGAUAAUUUAUUAAAUCCUUUAUGAACUUAGUAUGGAUUUGUUAAAGAAGGAAAACAACUCGACACCUGAUUAUUAUAUUAAACUUAGUGGUUUUGUGAGCAACCAACUGGACCAUUAAUGGUGAAUGCUGACAGGCUUAUUCCUCCCUGGUGAAACAUAUCUGAGGGAAAACGAUCCUCAUGGACAAGAGUUUUGGCAUGGAGUGCAUUAUCCAAAAUUCUCAGUACAUUUCAGAAACCAGUGUGAAUGAGAACCAGAUUGAAGGAUAUUUCAGUGACAGCCCUAUGGUUAACUCCUCAGUCUGUGACUUAUCAGAUGAAGAGAUUUCAACAAAGAAAGAGAAGCACUUGAGGCUCGGCCCUGAAGACCUCAACGACACAGUUCCCUAUGAUGAGUGAAUCAUGGCGUCCAUACGGGUAUACCUAAUGGAUUCCUAAUAGAUUUCUAAACUCCUAUGGAUUGUUUUUAUUUAAUUUCAUUAAAUUAAACUCUAUUUCUAAUAAAAAUUUGAUAAUAUUCCA
Long non-coding RNA from Ictalurus punctatus (channel catfish), 627 nucleotides. RefSeq lists it as uncharacterized. The record is from RefSeq and is a predicted model, not a curated record. NCBI's taxonomy places the organism in Eukaryota, Metazoa, Chordata, Actinopteri, Siluriformes, Ictaluridae. The transcript has 4 exons.